UACGAAGGGGGCGAGCGUUGUUCGGAAUCACUGGGCGUAAAGGGUGCGUAGGCGGGUCUUUAAGUCAGGGGUGAAAUCCUGGAGCUCAACUCCAGAACUGCCUUUGAUACUGAAGAUCUUGAGUUCGGGAGAGGUGAGUGGAACUGCGAGUGUAGAGGUGAAAUUCGUAGAUAUUCGCAAGAACACCAGUGGCGAAGGCGGCUCACUGGCCCGGUACUGACGCUGAGGCACGAAAGCGUGGGGAGCAAACAGG
This 253-nucleotide ribosomal RNA is filed under the name uncultured bacterium. RNAcentral's name for it is "partial 16S ribosomal RNA". It matches the Rfam family "Bacterial small subunit ribosomal RNA", at positions 524 to 776 of the family's 1533-position model. The record is from RNAcentral.